UACGAAGGGUGCAAACGUUGCUCGGAAUUAUUGGGCGUAAAGCGCGCGCAGGCGGCCUUUUUAAGUCUGAUGUGAAAUCUUGCGGCUCAACCGCAAGCGGUCAUUGGAAACUGGGAGGCUUGAGUACAGAAGAGGAGAGUGGAAUUCCACGUGUAGCGGUGAAAUGCGUAGAUAUGUGGAGGAACACCAGUGGCGAAGGCGACUCUCUGGUCUGUAACUGACGCUGAGGCGCGAAAGCGUGGGGGAGCAAACAGG
Molecule: ribosomal RNA, 255 nt
Filed under: uncultured bacterium
Lineage: Bacteria
Description: partial 16S ribosomal RNA
Rfam family: Bacterial small subunit ribosomal RNA
Source: RNAcentral